Molecule: ribosomal RNA, 252 nt
Filed under: uncultured bacterium
Lineage: Bacteria
Description: partial 16S ribosomal RNA
Rfam family: Bacterial small subunit ribosomal RNA
Source: RNAcentral
UACGGAGGGAGCUAGCGUUGUUCGGAAUUACUGGGCGUAAAGCGCACGUAGGCGGCUUUGUAAGUUAGAGGUGAAAGCCCGGGGCUCAACCCCGGAAUAGCCUUUAAGACUGCAUCGCUUGAAUCCGGGAGAGGUGAGUGGAAUUCCGAGUGUAGAGGUGAAAUUCGUAGAUAUUCGGAAGAACACCAGUGGCGAAGGCAGCCCCUGGGUCAAGAUUGACGCUCAUGCACGAAAGCGUGGGGAGCAAACAGG